RNAcentral lists this long non-coding RNA (664 nucleotides) under Rhagoletis pomonella (apple maggot). Its description in RNAcentral is "uncharacterized LOC118745019, transcript variant X2". Lineage: Eukaryota; Metazoa; Arthropoda; Insecta; Diptera; Tephritidae. The record is from RNAcentral.
UUCAGCGAAGGAAUACUGAAAUGCUGGAUUACAGUGUUUAUGCUUUGUGGCGUAGGGGAGGAAAUUCAAAUGAAUGCAACUGGAUACAUAGAUAACUUGUUAUAUGAACUGAUCGACUCACUACGUAUUUCAGUUAUCUGAGAAACAUUUCCAGUGUCGAGUAGGUACUUAUCACUAAAGGGUGAAGGAGAUCGCCAUUUUUGUUUAACAAACUGAUCGAAAAAGUUUAGCGCUAAGUCCAGUGGUCUACUCCUGAUGUUGUAAUACAUAAGUGACCUACAUACAUACAUAUCGUCGUUUAAAUGCGCAUCAAUUUCUGUCAAAUAUUAUCAGUAUUACGUACUACAUAAAAAUACACUGAGCAGUCUAUGCUACGACGGAAGCACGAGAAUUUUCCCAAAAUCAUUACUGGAAUUUGAAGUAAACAGACAACAGCAUGAGUUUACUCACUUCCAUCUAAACAGUAUGAACUCAUUGCUGUGAACUAUAUAAGCAGUUAUGUUUGGAAAUAAAUGAGUGCGAGUGUGUGCAGAUGUGAAAAGAAAGCGAGUGACUUAAAAUGUAAUUUGAGUGUAUCCAUGCAGCCUCUGGAAGUAAAUUAUGAACGAGUUUUGGUUUUAACAUAAAAUUCAAUAAAUACUCUAGACAUUUAUACAUAAAUGUA